CUUCAUUUUAGUAUUCACAAAAAACUACUUCAGAGUUUACUUCAAAUCGGAGAUUUCCUUCAAAAUUAUAUAAUAGAAAUAGUAUGCCACACUUUCCUGUUGAUGGUGAGUGAAAAAGAGGAAUCUGGAAUUUUCGAUCGACUUCAGAGUUUACUUCAAAAUCUAUUUCCUUUAAAAUUUUCUUCUUCUUCUUCUUUGUUUUUCGUCCGGAUCUAGGGUUUGUCUUGGGUUUGGGGUUCGGUCAACGCCGGUCAACCUUCCCUCCAUCUUUUCUCCCCUUUUCUUCUCCUUCUUUCCGAUUUGGGAUUCUAAAUAUGGUUUUGUGUCACUCACGAACCAUGAAUGUGGGUGUGUGAGGAGAGUCACUGUAGCUAAGAGAGUUCGAUAUAACGCGUUAAACAGCACAAGGAAACUAGAUAAGUUAAUGGCAUCCGACUUCUUUAUCAUUUAUCUAUCAAUUUUAUUUUUCGACCAUGAUUUCACCGUUUAAAUAUGAGUGUAUGAUGAGGCUGUUUCAGACAAUAUUUAUUUUCCAGAUGGACCAUUACUGGAAUAGUAGAAUGAUAGUAUUAAGUGCAUUUGUUAUUUAUUUUCAGAUGUGAAUUACCGUUAUCAUGCUAGUGAAAAAAAUACUCUUUAAUGUUACUAAGUCCGUAAAUUUUCGAACAAGGCUUAUCGCCCGACUACGAAAAAUGAUUACUGCUCGCCGGUUUUAUCAGAAAGGCAAGGCUUUGAGGGAAUGCUUCAACCUAAUCAAGUUAGGGUUGUACUCAUCGAUGAGGUAUAUCAUGUCAUGUUCCAUAUGCGGAACAUGUCAUGUUCCAUAUGCGGAACAGUGACCUCUGCACGCUCGGACUCUCUUCGAGAGACCACAACUCUUCAAAGGAUUUUAGAGACUUGAUGGAACUCCUCGAUUUUGAUCGAGCUAGAAAAUUCAAAAAGACUUCGAUAUCCCCCGGAUAUGAAAACUCCCGGGAUAGAAUUUUUCCAGACAAGUACCAGCACUUGUAUGAAUUGAAUGGAAUAGAACAGAAUUGAAUGGAAUAGAACAUGACUAUGUAAAAGAAGAGAUAGUUUAUGUUGGGGAAAACCUAUAUCGCACAGAUGAUAUGAGAGACACAGAGUUGGAAACAUUGAAGAUGCAUAUUGAGCGCUUCAUAAAUAUGAUAGCAGAAAGCAUUAGAAAGGACCGGAUCUUAGACAUUUUCGACGUUGUUUUGAAUUAUGGUUACACAAUUAGGGACACUGUAUAGAGUGUGCAGGUGUCCUCAAUUGUGUAACCAUGAUUUAACACAACGUCGAAAUUGUCUUCAUUCCAGUCCUCGCUAAUGCUUUAUGCUAUCAUAUUUAUCAAGAGCUUAAUAUCCAUCUUUACGGUUUCCAACUCUGUGUCACUCAUAUGAUCGGUGCGAUAUAAGUUUUUUCCAACAUAAGCUACCGCUUCUUUUACAUGGUCAUGUCUUAUUCCAUUCAAUUCACACUAGUACACUAGUGUUGGUACUUAGUUUGGAAAAAUUCUAUCCUAGAGGGCUUUCCUAUGGGAGGGAUAUCCAAGUCUUUUUGAAUUCUCUAGCACUCUAUUUUAAGGCACCCGAUCAAAAUCAAGGAGUUCCAUCAAGUCUUUAAAAUCCUUUGAAGAGUUGUGGCCUCUCUAAGAAAGUCCGAGGGUGUAGAGGUCACUGUUCCGCAUAUGGAACAUUACAUCAUAUACCUCAUCGGUGACCACGAAUCUGGUGACUUGAUGAGGUUGCAGCAUUUCCACAAAGCCUCUCCUCUGAUAAAACCGGCGAGCAAUCAUCACUUCUCGUAGUCUGGCCAAAAGCCUUGUUCGAAAGUUUACGGGCUUAGUAACAUUAAAGAUUACUUUUUCACUGGCGUGAUAACGUACUCCAUCUGAAAACUCGGGUAACUUGAUUAGGUUGAAGCGUUCCCUCAAAACCUUUACGAUAAAAACCGGCCAGCAGUAAUCUUUUUUUGUAGCCGGGCGACAAGCCUUGUUCGAAGUUCAGUCGCUUAGUAAUCUCUUCCCGUAGUGGGGCAAACAUUAUGAGAUAAGCAGACUAUCAAACGGCGACAGUACAAUGACUCCCCCUGUGUGCGUGGACUUCAUAUAUUACUAGACGUGUCCAACUGUUAAUAGAAGAUUCGGAAUCUCCUCAAGCCUGUGAGCGGGCGGUGAGGAUGGAAAAUGUAAAUAGAGAAACUAACUUUGUUGCAGAGUUUUGAUUACGCCGCCAAUGCCAGCACAAAGAGAGCUGCAAGGAGCUCUCUGCGUUAGAUGGUUUGAUAUCAGGUGAUACAACACAAGGAAACUAGAUAACUUAAUGGCAUGCGACUUCUUUAUCAUCUAUCCAUCAAUUUUAUCUUCCGACCAUGAUUUCACCGUUUAAGUAUGGGACUUGUGUGCAUGAGAAGCUUUGCAAUCCAAAGUUCCAUCCACGAUUCAAGAAGGUCCAGGCUAGAACGAAAAGCAUCAGAGUACUGCCAUGAUACCUCUUCUUGAUAGUUGAUACCUGAACCAGACAGAAAUACUUGGAGACAAGGCGCGAAGAAAAGUAUUUGAGGAACAUAAAGGGUACCUGAUGAUGAUGGAGAAGGCGACAAAGCCAGAUAGAGAGGAACAUAAAGCCAGGCAGAGAAAUACUCGGGGACAAGGCACGAAAAAAAGUGCUUGAGGAACAUAAAAGGUAUCUGAUGAUGAUGGUGAAGGCGACAAAGCUAGAUCUAAUUAAAAAAAAAAAAGAAGAAAAGAGAAGAGACAGAAAUGCUUAAGAAGUUGAUGACAACAGAGAAGAAUAACAGAGAAGAAUUGUCUUUUAGAUCAUGUCAAGAUAUAACAUCAUGUCAAUGACUGUAUUGCAGCAUCCCCAACUCCAAGAGAGUUCAAUACAGAUAUAUGGUUGACUUGUCGUGUUGUGUUUGUAGGUUGGACCUUCUAUGUUCUUUAGCUCAAAACAAUUUGAAUUAUUUGAUGUAAACUGCUUGGUGUUAAGGAGAACCAUAGCUCUUUACCUGGGUGUUGUUUGUAAUUGAGUUGCAAAGAUUUUGAUGUGCCAAGAAGCACAAUGCUAUUUGUACAGCCUUUCAGUUUUGAUGUUUC
Molecule: long non-coding RNA, 3100 nt
Organism: Erigeron canadensis
Lineage: Eukaryota; Viridiplantae; Streptophyta; Magnoliopsida; Asterales; Asteraceae
Exons: 7
Source: RefSeq, a predicted model, not a curated record